CAGAGUUCAUGCCCUUACGGGUAGACCUCCCACCCUUGAAUACUAUACCUCUUGUUGCUUUGGCGGGCCGCUCCGGCUACCGGCUCCGGCUGGUGAGUGCCCGCCAAGGGACCUAAACUCUUGAAUUAUUGUGUCGUCUGAGUACUAUAUAAUAGUUA
Molecule: unclassified non-coding RNA, 158 nt
Filed under: uncultured fungus
Lineage: Eukaryota; Fungi
Also listed under: 1 other name
Description: sequence contains ITS1, 5.8S rRNA gene
Source: RNAcentral